GACAACUAAUCCAUGACAUAUGACAUCCAUGAGAUAGUGAUGGGGAGGUUGCAAUGCAGUAUGAAGGGAGGAUGGAGGUCAGAGGUCAUGAGUUAGACUGACUGUGUGUCUGCUGUGGUGAUGUGUGGUGUCAUGAUUACCUGUAGGUAAGGCGGUGUAAGUAGGUGAAGUGGGUUGCAUGGUGGUGGGUGAGUCAGAAGAACCUAUUUGACAUGAUCACAUAGUUUAAACUAGAUUCAAAUACAGUCCUUAUAUGAAUAAAGUUGGCACCAAUUUUCCGCCAGAUAAAUAAAACAAAUGCAGUACAAACCACAACAAGCUAAUGAGUACAGGAAUGAAUACAUUGCCUAUUUUUAAAAAUUGCAAUUUCCUUUACUGGUCCAGUGUACAAUAAAAUUAUUAAAAACAGGAAAUU
Sinocyclocheilus grahami is the source of this 415-nucleotide long non-coding RNA. RefSeq lists it as uncharacterized. The transcript is spliced from 3 exons. The record is from RefSeq and is a predicted model, not a curated record. NCBI's taxonomy places the organism in Eukaryota, Metazoa, Chordata, Actinopteri, Cypriniformes, Cyprinidae.